UGUGAAGAUCCUAACAUCAGCCUGAUUUAUGACUCAUCAUGAUUCAGUGAAGUUAUUUGCAGACAGAACAGACUCACUGGGGAGUAAGAGUCUGAUAAGUGGUGACUUUUCUGUAAAACAACUAGAGCAGCUGCAGAUGCUAUUAUCCCGGGUAGAAGGGAGCAGAUGGGAAGGAUGAAAGGGCUCUACUUGACACUGGGCCUCUUGGCACUCACAACCUGCUUCUCAACAAGUACAACACAAGAGAGACAAAAUAGGCUGAAAAAUAGACUACAAAUGAAUCCAUCUGCACAAGCAUCAUCUUCACCUCAGCAAAUACUUUUCUUAAGGAAAAGUGGUAGGAUUCCCACUCAGCUAAAUCCAUCUGCGCAACAAAGACUUGGAGGCUCUCGAGCCUAUUUAAAUCCCGCUGGUCCAAAGAGAUCUCCAAAGAUAAAAUCUAGUCAAAGCUCUGCUGUACAGCAAAUUAGCCGAAAACCCUCAAAUUACCUGAAUUUUCCAGUUAAAACAAGAUCUAGAACUAUCAAAUUUGAUGUAAAUAAACGUGCCCAAAAGUUAAUUAAAAGUAAUAAACUUCUCAUGGAUACCUACACUCAUUUAAAAUUAGAUAAAUCCAAAAUUCCUUCAUAUCAAAAAAACAUGAAGCCCAAAACUAAGCUAAACUUAUUAAGUAAACCAAGAAUACCUAGCCAACCAAAAUCUCAGUCAAAAAUAUCUGAACAAAAUCAAAAUAAACGCAAAAAAGAACAGCGUGUUAUAAAGAGAAAUCACCUAAGUGGGACUAAAAACCAUCAAAUUAGCCAACCAAAAGCUAGUCAAAAAUCUGCCCAUCAAAAAAGCCACCAACUCCAAAAUAACAUAAAUAUAACAGCUCACAAAAGAUCUAGCAAUACCAAAUCUCAUAUACUCAAAACUAAAAUAUUACCAAGGAAAUCUAAAUCUCUUUCCAGGGUAAAUAAUCAACAGAACUCAGAUUUGACUAAGUUAUCCGCAACUUCAACUGGUAAAAAAUAUAGUCAACGUCAAACAAGGCAACAAAGAUUAGGUCCACGGAAAACAUCUGGUAAAUCAAAACUUCUAAAAUACAACAGAAGUAAGAAGGUAAAGCAGAAAACUGGUCCAAAUAAACCUGAUCCUAACUGGACCCAGACAUGAUCAACCUGGUCAACCCAAGCCUGGUCAAAAAAAUUACAAACAAAAUGUCAACCAUCUCCCAAAUCAAAUGAAUUCAACAGCUCCCCUCAAAAUUAACAAACCCAAAUCUCAGCAAGGAAAAAUGGUUAAAAAAUCUCCAAGAAAACCUAAGCCUCACUUUAUAACCAAAGUUGAGCAAAAUCCAAAAAAAUCUAAUUCACCUGUAGUUUUAGUUGGUAAACGAAAUGGCCAGCACCAACCUAAACCACAAGCAAUAGGUUCACAUAAAAUAUAUACACUAUCAAAGCUUCAUAAUAAUGCAAUCAAGAAACAACGAAUUAGUCCAACAAAGACUUCUGAACAAAAGAAAAUUAACCAAAGGAAGUAUCAUCUAAAUUCUACUAAAGAAUCUGGAAACUCGAAACCUGUUGCAAACAGAUCAAAAAGAACCAAAAAAGUGAAAAAACAAUCUGGCCAACAGAGACCAGUGUGUAGACAUUGUCCAUCAGGCCAAUCAAGACCUCUUCAAAUAUUUCCUAUGCAACAAAAUAGCUACCAACUUUCAAAUCACAGGAACUCAUCAGCUCUUAAAAAACCUAGAAUUAUCAAAUAUCAGCCAGGCAAAACUACUAAAAAGUUAUCAAGGAAACCUAAACCUUCCUGUGGGACAAAAUUUCAACAAAAGCCAAAAGUACC
RNAcentral lists this long non-coding RNA (1830 nucleotides) under Canis lupus familiaris (dog). RNAcentral describes it as "lncRNA (ENSCAFG00030016799.1)". Lineage: Eukaryota; Metazoa; Chordata; Mammalia; Carnivora; Canidae. The record is from RNAcentral.